This 636-nucleotide long non-coding RNA is filed under the name Populus trichocarpa (black cottonwood). Its description in RNAcentral is "long non-coding RNA (PTRI_LNC003478)". The record is from RNAcentral. Lineage: Eukaryota; Viridiplantae; Streptophyta; Magnoliopsida; Malpighiales; Salicaceae.
CUUAAAAUGACCAUUAAACUUUCCUUUGGUUUUUGGUGUGUGAAAGGAGUUUUGAUUAGUAUUAAGUUCAAUGACUUUAUCUUGGUUUUUUGCUUUCUCUUCUACUCUUAGAGAGUGAUCAGAGUAUCAAUGGAAAGUUAUUGCAGUAGACUGUAGAAUUUUCCUGGGAUCGUAUUAAACAUUGCACCCGCUGGAAAGAAUCUCUAGAUCCGCCCCUGCCAUUGUCACCGCCACUCAAGUUCUGCUUCAAUGAAUUUCUUUCUAUAAUUGAUUUAUUUUACAGGUUGUUUGCUUUAAAUUUGAAGCUUUUUAGAACGUGGGUUUUGAUUGAACUUCUUACAUUUCUUUCUAUUUUACUCAUUGAUUGCUACUUUAUCCUCCAUCCUUGCUGCAUGUAGCUGAACUAAAUUUUAUGUCCCUUAUUUUUUCUUUUGCAAGAAAAUUGCUUUAGGUAACACGACCAUUUAUAUGAUCAUAAUCAACACAGAGCACACAAAGUUUAGAAGAACGUAGUUGAGCUGGAAAUUUGAAGAACAAUUACUAAGAAAUAUAUUUUUGUGCCUAUUUGCGUUUAUAGGUCAGCAAAUGCCACGUUCGGAGGUUUUUAUUGCUUGCUCUGCUGUCCAUUUGGCUUUU